This 468-nucleotide ribosomal RNA is filed under the name Papilio machaon (common yellow swallowtail). RNAcentral's name for it is "partial large subunit ribosomal RNA". The record is from RNAcentral. Lineage: Eukaryota; Metazoa; Arthropoda; Insecta; Lepidoptera; Papilionidae.
UUUUUGGAAAUAAUUUAAAGUCUUAUCUGCCCACUGAUAAAUAUAUUAAAGGGCUGCAGUAUUUUGACUGUACAAAGGUAGCAUAAUCAUUAGUCUCUUAAUUGGUGACUUGUAUGAAAGAUUGGAUGAAAUAUAAACUGUCUCUAAUUAAUUUAUAAAAUUUAAUUUUUUAGUAAAAAAGCUAAAAUAAUUUUAAAAGGCGAGAAGACCCUAUAGAGUUUUAUAAUUUAUUUGAUUAUUAUUAAUAUGUAAAUUUUAAAAUUAAAAUUAAAUAAAUUAUUUUGUUGGGGUGACAGAAAAAUUAAAUUAACUUUUUUAAAUAAUUAACAUUAAUUUAUGAAUAAAUGAUCCAUUAAUAUUGAUUAAAAGAAAAAAUUACCUUAGGGAUAACAGCGUAAUUUUUUUUUUUAGUUCAAAUAGGAAAAAAAGUUUGCGACCUCGAUGUUGGAUUAAGAUAAAAUUUAAAUG